AUGUUCCUUAUACACCUCCAAAAGGUACUCCAUCACCUGGCAAUCAACCUCCGUAUGUUCCAGUUACACCAUCUCCUGUUCACACCCCUCCUACUGUUCCUUAUACUCCACCAAAAGCUCCUUCUCCUGGAAAUGAACCACCAUAUGUACCAAUUAUAACACCACCAAAAACACCUUCUCCUGUACACACCCCUCCUAGUGUUCCAUAUACUCCACCAAAAUCUCCUUCUCCUGGGAAUGAGCCACCGUAUGUACCAAUUAUACCACCAAAAACACCUUCUCCUAUUCAUACCCCUCCUAGUGUUCCUUAUACUCCACCAAAAGCUCCUUCUCCUGGAAACGAGCCACCAUAUGUACCAAUAAUACCACCACCAAAAAUCCCUUCUCCUAUUCGCACCCCUCCUAGUGUUCCAUACACUCCACCAAAAGCGCCUUCUCCUGGGAAUGAGCCUCCAUAUGUACCAAUUACACCACCAAAAACACCUUCUCCAAUUCACACUCCUCCAAAAACUCCUUCUCCUGGGAAUGAGCCGCCAUAUAUACCAAUUACACCACCAAAAACACCUCCAAUUCAAACACCUCCUAUUCACACCCCUCCUAGUGUUCCAUACACUCCACCAAAAGCUCCUUCUCCUAGGAAUGAGCCGCCAUAUGUACCAAUUACACCACCAAAAACACCUUCUCCAAUUCACACUCCACCAAAAACUCCUUCUCCUAUUCAUACCCCUCCUAGUGUUCCUUAUAGUCCCCCAAAAGCACCUUCUCCUGGGAACCAACCACCGUAUGUACCGAUUACACCACCAAAAACACCAUCUCCUAUUCACACUCCUCCUAGUGUUCCUUAUACUCCCCCAAAAGCACCUUCUCCUGGGAACCAACCACCGUACGUACCAAUUACACCACCAAAAACACCAUCUCCUAUUCACACUCCUCCUAGUGUUCCUUAUUCUCCUCCAAAAACACCUUCUCCUGGUAAUCAACCACCAUAUGUCCCAAUUACACCACCAAAAAGUCCUUCUCCUAUUCAUACCCCUCCUAAUGUUCCUUAUACUCCACCAGAAACUCCUUCUCCUAGCAAUCAACCACCCUAUGUACCAAUUACACCACCAAAAACCCCUUCUCCUAUACACGCCCCUCCGAAUGUUCCUUAUACUCCUCCAGAAGCUCCUUCCCCUAAAAAUCAACCACCUAAUGUUCCAAUUACACCUCCAAAAACUCAUCCCCCUACUUCCAAUCCCAUUCCUCCUAGUAUUGCUCCUUACACUCCCCCUGAAACUCCAUCCCCUAGAAAUCAACCACCAUAUACGCCAAAUCCUCCUAAAACCCCUUCUCCAAUCUCUCAACCACCCUAUGUACCAAUUACACCACCAAAAUCUCCUUCACCUAUUCACACCCCUCCUAAUGUUCCUUAUACACCUCCAACAACUCCUUCCCCUAGCAACCACCCUCCAAAUGUUCCAACAACACCCUCUCCUAUUUCUCAACCUCCAUAUGUUCCAACACCUCCAAAAACACCUUCUCCGAGUUCUCAAGCACCUUACAUUGAAUCACCUCCCAAUACUCCAAUAGCUCCUUCCCCAAGCAAUCACCCUCCAAAUGUACCAACACCUCCAAAAACUCCUUCUCCCAUUUCUCAAGCCCCUUACAUUCAAACACCACCAAACACAC
RNAcentral lists this long non-coding RNA (1668 nucleotides) under Trifolium pratense (red clover). RNAcentral describes it as "long non-coding RNA (TPRA_LNC003794)". Lineage: Eukaryota; Viridiplantae; Streptophyta; Magnoliopsida; Fabales; Fabaceae. The record is from RNAcentral.